AUAAGGGCAUCAUCGGCUGAUAUUGCUGCUCUCUUUCUCUAGACACCCAUCUGAAUCAAGUGUUGAUCAAUGGAUUCCGCUAGCGGCGCUUUGCUUAGGAAGGUCAUUCCUGUUGCCUGCAUCUUGCUGGUCUUGUUGUCCAUGGGCUCCCCCGUGAUGGCAGACAUAGAGAACGACUGCCGUGCGAUUUGUAUUCCUAGGUGCAGUGGCCUCGCUUCUGAUGGGUGCAACAGCAUCAUUGAGCUCGCCCCUACUAUCCUGAAACCUCUGAAUCUCCUUCCAACGUGUGAAGUGCGGAUCGCUCAACUAUGUCUUCCCCUCUGCAUGAACGUCUGCACCCUCAACACCCUGACCCCGCCGGGCGCCCCCACACCGGCGCCGGUCAGCGCCGCCGCACCACCACCAUGCAAGCCAUAAUUAUAUACCCGUGUCUUACUUCAUAAGCAUACAAAUUACUAAAGAAUGAUCAAAAUAUAUCUAUGUAAUAAAGUGUCCUUGCUCCCGGUAUAUGCCUACCGGCUAGCUAGAGGAAGCAUGUGUGCGAUGCUUGGUCAUCGUCAGUGUUCAUGAGCUAAGACUCAUACCAUGUACCUGAUAUCUGUGUCCAAGGGUAUUCUUGGAACCCGUGUUUAAUUGGAAGUAUAAAUUUCUGUAUCAACCAAAA
Molecule: long non-coding RNA, 664 nt
Filed under: Setaria viridis
Lineage: Eukaryota; Viridiplantae; Streptophyta; Magnoliopsida; Poales; Poaceae
Description: long non-coding RNA (SVIR_LNC009958)
Source: RNAcentral